Molecule: unclassified non-coding RNA, 336 nt
Filed under: soil metagenome
Description: partial contains 5.8S ribosomal RNA, internal transcribed spacer 2, and large subunit ribosomal RNA
Rfam family: 5.8S ribosomal RNA (bases 1-120)
Source: RNAcentral
GAUGAAGAACGUAGCGAAAUGCGAUAAGUAAUGUGAAUUGCAGAAUUCAGUGAAUCAUCGAAUCUUUAAACGCACAUUGCGCCCGCCAGUAUUCUGGCGGGCAUGCCUGUUCGAGCGUCAUUUCAACCAUCAAGCCCCCGGGCUUGUGUUGGGGACCUGCGGCUGCCGCAGGCCCUGAAAAGCAGUGGCGGGCUCGCUGUCACACCGAGCGUAGUAGCAUACAUCUCGCUCUGGGCGUGCUGCGGGUUCCGGCCGUUAAACCACCUUUUAACCCAAGGUUGACCUCGGAUCAGGUAGGAAGACCCGCUGAACUUAAGCAUAUCAAUAAGCGGAGGA